AAAAYGACUCUCGGCAACGGAUAUCUCGGCUCUUGCAUCGAUGAAGAACGUAGCGAAAUGCGAUACUUGGUGUGAAUUGCAGAAUCCCGUGAACCAUCGAGUUUUUGAACGCAAGUUGCGCCUAAAGCCAUUAGGCUGAGGGCACGCCUGCCUGGGUGUCACAA
This 164-nucleotide ribosomal RNA is filed under the name Cajanus scarabaeoides. RNAcentral's name for it is "5.8S ribosomal RNA". It matches the Rfam family "5.8S ribosomal RNA". Rfam says of the family: 5.8S ribosomal RNA (5.8S rRNA) is a component of the large subunit of the eukaryotic ribosome. It is transcribed by RNA polymerase I as part of the 45S precursor that also contains 18S and 28S rRNA. The record is from RNAcentral. Lineage: Eukaryota; Viridiplantae; Streptophyta; Magnoliopsida; Fabales; Fabaceae.